UACGGGGGGGGCAAGCGUUGUUCGGAAUUACUGGGCGUAAAGGGCGCGUAGGCGGUUUGCUACGUUGAAUGUGAAAACUCUGGGCUUAACCCAGAGCCUGCAUUCAAUACUGGCAGGCUAGAGUUCUGGAGGGGAUAGCGGAAUUCCUGGUGUAGCGGUGAAAUGCGUAGAUAUCAGGAGGAACACCGGUGGCGAAGGCGGCUAUCUGGACAGAGUCUGACGCUGAGGCGCGAAAGCGAGGGGAGCAAACAGG
RNAcentral lists this ribosomal RNA (253 nucleotides) under uncultured bacterium. RNAcentral describes it as "partial 16S ribosomal RNA". It matches the Rfam family "Bacterial small subunit ribosomal RNA", at positions 524 to 776 of the family's 1533-position model. The record is from RNAcentral.